Molecule: ribosomal RNA, 484 nt
Filed under: uncultured bacterium
Lineage: Bacteria
Description: partial 16S ribosomal RNA
Rfam family: Bacterial small subunit ribosomal RNA
Source: RNAcentral
AUUGAACGCUGGCGGCAGGCCUAACACAUGCAAGUCGAGCGGAUGAAGGGAGCUUGCUCCUGGAUUCAGCGGCGGACGGGUGAGUAAUGCCUAGGAAUCUGCCUGGUAGUGGGGGAUAACGUCCGGAAACGGGCGCUAAUACCGCAUACGUCCUGAGGGUGAAAGUGGGGGAUCUUCGGACCUCACGCUAUCAGAUGAGCCUAGGUCGGAUUAGCUAGUUGGUGGGGUAAAGGCCUACCAAGGCGACGAUCCGUAACUGGUCUGAGAGGAUGAUCAGUCACACUGGAACUGGGACACGGUCCAGACUCCUACGGGAGGCAGCAGUGGGGAAUAUUGGACAAUGGGCGAAAGCCUGAUCCAGCCAGGCCGCGUGUGUGAAGAAGGUCUUCGGAGUGUAAAGCACUUUAAGUUGGGAGGAAGGGCAGUAAGUUAAUACCUUGCUGUUUUGACGUUACCAACAGAAUAAGCACCGGCUAACUUCGUG